RNAcentral lists this long non-coding RNA (1080 nucleotides) under Ananas comosus (pineapple). Its description in RNAcentral is "long non-coding RNA (ACOM_LNC011798)". Lineage: Eukaryota; Viridiplantae; Streptophyta; Magnoliopsida; Poales; Bromeliaceae. The record is from RNAcentral.
AUUUUUUCUUGUAUAAAGACUUUAAUAACUAUUCUUAUUUGAAAAAGUACAUAUUUUGAUUUUUUGCACAUAUGUGGAUAAAGUUAUCUUUUGUAUAAUUAAAAUUUUAUUGUGCAUUAAAGUGGGACUCUGUGUUAAAUUUAUAAUAAGUUCAUACAGUUAUAACUCAUAAAGGCACUUGAUUAAGGAAUACAUUCUUUUGAUACUUGGAAUAGAGUGUUCAUCUGUUGGGAUAUAGCCGCUAGCUAUGAUCAAAGUAUAGUCCAUUUACAGUUUAAGUAUUUUUUCUUGUAUAAAGGCUUUAAUAACUAUUCUUAUUUGAAAAAGUACAUAUUUUGAUUUUUUGCACAUAUGUGGAUAAAGUUAUCUUUUGUAUAAUUAAAAUUUUAUUGUGCAUAAAAGUGGGACUCUGUGUUAAAUUUAUAAUAAGUUCAUACAGUUAUAACUUAUAAAGACACUUGAUUAAGGAAUACAUUCUUUUGAUACUUGGAAGGGAGUGUUCAUCUGUUGGGAUAUAGUCGCUAUGAUCAAAGUAUUGUAAUUCAUUGGUCGAGUGGGAGGUUUUUACUGUAUAAUUUAGUAGGUAAUUAAUAAAAUUUUGUAUCGCCUGUACAGUAAUAAAUAUAUUACUAGACCAAGGGAGAGAAUAUUGGAUGUGGCCCACGUGAUUUAUUCAAGACGAUCUAUAACAAUACAAUCGAUCUAUUCAAGGCGAUCUAUGAAGAUAUGGUCGAUUCAACAGUUAGGAUGUAUUUGGACACAUUCUUAAUAGACGGAUGUGAUUUAACAUUUUUAUAUUAAGUUGUAUAUAAAUAUGUGUAAUAUAUGAGAGUCCCGCUCUAACACUAAUUCUAAUUUCUUGUGAUGUCUCCAUCUUCGGGGAUAAGUGAAUGGGCGUGAUUUAACGUUCCACUCUCUUGUAAAUCAUGAAUGAGGACGAACCACAAGUAAGAAUCGCCGUCUCUCUUAUAGAUCAUGAACGAGGACGAACCACAAACAAGAAUAGUCGUCUACAAUCCGGGUUUGAAAAUCGAAAUUAUGACAGAAAAUAUGAUUUAAUUUUUCAUAAAGUUUAACAAU